Molecule: non-coding RNA, 95 nt
Filed under: unclassified sequences
Description: DUF1874 RNA
Rfam family: DUF1874 RNA
About the family: Hot springs metagenome only. Environment (Bison Hot Springs, Yellowstone)
Source: RNAcentral
UUUCCCUCUACCCGCAAGCGGUGGUCAUCCACAGGUAAGAGGUGCCAAAGGCACCCGCCACCGCCUUCCGCAAGGAAGAGGGUAGAGGAGGAGGA